GACGAACGCUGGCGGCGUGCUUAACACAUGCAAGUCGAACGGAAAGGCCCUGCUUUUGUGGGGUGCUCGAGUGGCGAACGGGUGAGUAACACGUGAGUAACCUGCCCUUGACUUUGGGAUAACUUCAGGAAACUGGGGCUAAUACCGGAUAGGAGCUCCUGCUGCAUGGUGGGGGUUGGAAAGUUUCGGCGGUUGGGGAUGGACUCGCGGCUUAUCAGCUUGUUGGUGGGGUAGUGGCUUACCAAGGCUUUGACGGGUAGCCGGCCUGAGAGGGUGACCGGCCACAUUGGGACUGAGAUACGGCCCAGACUCCUACGGGAGGCAGCAGUGGGGAAUAUUGCACAACGGGCGGAAGCCUGAUGCAGCAACGCCGCGUGCGGGAUGACGGCCUUCGGGUUGUAAACCGCUUUCGCCUGUGACGAAGCGUGAGUGACGGUAAUGGGUAAAGAAGCACCGGCUAACUACGUGCCAGCAGCCGCGGUGAUACGUAGGGUGCGAGCGUUGUCCGGAUUUAUUGGGCGUAAAGGGCUCGUAGGUGGUUGAUCGCGUCGGAAGUGUAAUCUUGGGGCUUAACCCUGAGCGUGCUUUCGAUACGGGUUGACUUGAGGAAGGUAGGGGAGAAUGGAAUUCCUGGUGGAGCGGUGGAAUGCGCAGAUAUCAGGAGGAACACCAGUGGCGAAGGCGGUUCUCUGGGCCUUUCCUGACGCUGAGGAGCGAAAGCGUGGGGAGCGAACAGGCUUAGAUACCCUGGUAGUCCACGCUGUAAACGGUGGGUACUAGGUGUGGGGUCCACUCCACGGGUUCCGUGCCGUAGCUAACGCUUUAAGUACCCCGCCUGGGGAGUACGGCCGCAAGGCUAAAACUCAAAGGAAUUGACGGGGCCCCGCACAAGCGGCGGAGCAUGCGGAUUAAUUCGAUGCAACGCGUAGAACCUUACCUGGGUUUGACAUGGAUCGGGAGUGCUCAGAGAUGGGUGUGCCUCCUUUGGGGUCGGUUCACAGGUGGUGCAUGGCUGUCGUCAGCUCGUGUCGUGAGAUGUUGGGUUAAGUCCCGCAACGAGCGCAACCCUUGUUCACUGUUGCCAGCACGUUAUGGUGGGGACUCAGUGGAGACCGCCGGGGUCAACUCGGAGGAAGGUGGGGAUGACGUCAAGUCAUCAUGCCCCUUAUGUCCAGGGCUUCACGCAUGCUACAAUGGCUGGUACAGAGAGUGGCGAGCCUGUGAGGGUGAGCGAAUCUCGGAAAGCCGGUCUCAGUUCGGAUUGGGGUCUGCAACUCGACCUCAUGAAGUCGGAGUCGCUAGUAAUCGCAGAUCAGCAACGCUGCGGUGAAUACGUUCCCGGG
RNAcentral lists this ribosomal RNA (1343 nucleotides) under uncultured bacterium. RNAcentral describes it as "16S ribosomal RNA". It matches the Rfam family "Bacterial small subunit ribosomal RNA", at positions 28 to 1378 of the family's 1533-position model. The record is from RNAcentral.